Molecule: long non-coding RNA, 1765 nt
Organism: Mus spicilegus (steppe mouse)
Lineage: Eukaryota; Metazoa; Chordata; Mammalia; Rodentia; Muridae
Source: Ensembl
CAUCACUCUUCUAGAAUUGUCUUCGCUUCACUUUAAGUUUAAAGCUCAUUCCACUGGCAGGGAGAUGCGCAGGUAAGGGCUCUUGCCACCAAGUCUACUGAGCUCCCAAGAUCAAGUGCUGAAGGGAGUCUCCUGUAAUCUGUCCUCUGACCUCCGGGGGUGUGUGCACGUGCAGUAUAGUCACACACAAUAAAUACACGUAAAAAUUUAAAUCGGAAAGCAAAUCACUUUUGACAAUAAGAAAAGAGUCAUCUGACUCCCGAGGACCUGACGGCCACUUCUGAGGAGGGACCCACUGUCCUCUGCGCUGUGGCCCCAACUGAACUCUGUUCCCUUCAAGGAAAAAGGGAGCAAAAAGUAGAAGCAAGCCAGGGCUGGAGGAGUGGGGGUCAUCAGGGUCAAGAGAGGCGAGUGGUGGUUAUGAUUACAACACAUUAUACACACAGGAGAAGGCCACACUUAUGUACAUGCUAAUAAAGUAACAUUUAUUAACACUCAAUCGUUGUAGGAUUUUUCCUGGGGGACCUGAGUACCGGAGUGUUCCCGAGACGUACUAAAGUAGGAGUGAAGUCUCAGGAGAGACAGCGGUCCCAGCUGUUUCUCGGUGCGUUCCCCGCCCCAACUCCCCUCCCCGCCACCCUAGGGGGCUCUGUCCGGACGCCGAGCUCUCUAGGGUCCAAGGAAACAACCGCAGCCCUAGCGAAUCCCAACUGCGAACUCGGAUAUGACCCAUGGAAAGGGGCGAGGAAGACAAUCCGGUGUUUUGGGGUGUGCUGCCUGUGUGCACAGGAGGGCUGCGCACGCACUCUCCCGGCCUCCUGGAUCUUCCUACAAACGGUUCACACAAUAUUUUCCUUCGGGAAAGUUUUCUAGAUUGGGGAUCUCGGCAAAGAGGACGCUAUGGGUGCGCUUGAGCUUCCCGGAGCGGCAUGAUUGUUGUCAAUGCGUGUGCAUGCAAUGCGCAUGAAGACCCGAAGAGAGCGUUGGAUCGCCCUGGAACCAGAGUGACCGUCUGCUAUGAGCCGCCUAAUUGAGCGGGGACCGAUCUCGGGUCCUCUGCAAGAGCAGAAGCCUCCUCUCCAGCGCUUCUCCGUUUUUUUUGUUUUUGUUUUUUGUUUUUUUUUUUUUUUGAGCCGGUGUCCUGUAUACACUCACUACACCGCUUAAGCUGGCCUCCAACACCUGAUUUUCCUGGCUCCACCUCCCUAGUGCUGGGAUGAGAUGAUGGGUGUGUGUUCACCAGUCCUGGCUAAGCUGACAACUCCUCACCCACCCCAUCUCGCUUCUCUGUCCUCUCUGGUUCAUAUAUAUAUAUAUGUAUACAGGUCUCAAUGUGGACUCUUCAUAAAGCUUAUAUUUUGGUGGGAUGACACAAACAGAAUGAAAAGUUAACGCAAAAGGAAAGGUUUGAACCCAGAGACCCAAGUGCGGAGGAGCUGUCAGACCAUAGCUCCAUUCAUUCAUUCAUUGAACGUCCAAUUGCACCAGUGAACAUGGGUAAUUUGGGCUUAUGUGCCCAAAGCGAUGAGUCAGGGUCUUGCUAAGUAGUCCAAGCUAGACUAGAUUCCCACUAUGUAGUCCAAGUUAAUGUUCUUUUUGUCUUAGGUCCUUGACUACUAGGGUGAGAGGCAGGUGCCACCAAGCAUUUGUGCACAAUCUAACUCAUGAAAUCCUGAACUUAGGCCGUGAGAAAGGCAGUAGACGCUGCCUCUAGGACUGGAGUUUCCAAAAUAAAUAUAUUGGAGCAACUGGAAGCCUGGUGCCA